This 66-nucleotide transfer RNA is filed under the name Dipodomys ordii (Ord's kangaroo rat). It matches the Rfam family "tRNA". From Rfam's summary of the family: Transfer RNA (tRNA) molecules are approximately 80 nucleotides in length. Their secondary structure includes four short double-helical elements and three loops (D, anti-codon, and T loops). Lineage: Eukaryota; Metazoa; Chordata; Mammalia; Rodentia; Heteromyidae. The record is from Rfam by way of RNAcentral.
GGUGGGCUCAGUGGUAGAGUGCUUGCCUUGCAUGCAUAAGGCCCUGGGUUCAAGUCCUCAGCACCA